AACAAUUUACUUCUCAAUCUAAAAAAACAGCUAACACACUAACAUGUACAUAUUCAAAUUAAUUUGGACCUUGCACUACAACACAAUUAGGUUAUAGGGACACAUGUUUGGGAUACUUUUGAGUAAGUAUCCCAUUUAUACUAAAACUUAAAAACACAUCUACUAAUGCCUAAAUAUAAAGCCCAAUCCAACCAAAAAUAAAAGAUUACUCUACUCAACCCACCACACCCAGUCCAUUUGGCCCGAUUACAAACAGAAAAGAAAAAAAAAAGAAAAAUCAAUUACCAUCUUUUCUUCUCUCUUCACUCAAUCCACUGAAAUUCUAGACGAAGAGCCUUUACUGUCGUCCUCCUCCGCCACCGCAGCCAACGAGAUAGAGUUUCGGCAGUUGCUAAAUCCUUAAAUAAGUGUUGGUAAAUUAGCAGCACUCUUUUAGGUUAUAGCGACACUCUUUAACUGUCACUAUAUACCUAGCGACCCCACAUAUAGCAACACUUUUUAAAAGUGUCGGUAAUUUUAGUUAGCAGCACUUUUUUGACAUGUACCUGCAUUUAAAAGUGUCGCUAUAGACCGUUUUUAUUGUAGUGUUGUAUUUAGCAUUACUAGAAAAUCAUUAUCCUAAACCUGCAACGACUCCAUACCAAUUCAUUUAAUUAAGUAAAAAGCUUAGCUAGGCCUGGAUUUUUUUUAAAUACAAUUUUGUGUAUUAAAAAAUAUACCGAGUAAAUAGUGGAUUGCUUGUAAUCUUUCAAGGUCAGUACAUGACAAUAAAAAAUAAAAAAUUGAAAGUAACUCUAUCAUUUAAAUAAAUAAAUAAAUAAAUAAAUAUUUUUUCGAACACAUCAAAUUAAAUAGAAUUAGUGCCUAAAGAAGUGAAAAAACUGAUAGAUCUUUAUCGGAAUGUAAAAUAACAAUAAAUUAAAUACAUAUCAAAAUUCAGGAUCACCAAUAAAAAUAAAUAACUUGCAGAGCGCCAUAGAGAAGAAAUUUCUGAUCGAUCAACUGCGGAAGUGAGAAGUCUGGUACCGAUAUGAACGUCACCAACCGAACUUGGAUAAUUUGCUUUCUCCUCCUUUCUCAGGCAUUCUCCUGUAUAGUGUGGAACCGAUGGUAAUUUUUUAUCAGAAUGCACAUGAGAAGGUGGCAGGACCAAUACCCGUCUUUAUAUAGAGUUCAGACGACUUCCCAUCAAAGUCUGAUUAGGAUUCUAUAUAAAUUUAAAACGAUGGGAAAGAGAUAAGAUAUAUCAUAUCAAGUAGUUUUAUAACUGUUAGGAUUGAUCUUUAUCUAUAAUAAAUCUAAAGGCUAAAUUACAUAAAACCUCCCUAUCAAAACCCGAUUUUUCACUUUCCCUCCAUAUCAUUUAAAAACUUACACUUUGCCACCCUAAAAAAUAAAAAAUAUUCACAGGGGGUACGAUGCUAAUAGUAUUGAUAAAAUGACCAAAAUGCCUUCUCCCUCUUCCUCUCCUCCCCCAACCCUCCUUUAUUUGUAGAAGGGUAUUUUCGGUAUAAAAGAAUAUAUAAUAAUGGGAUAUAGACGGAACCCUAACGGAACACUGACGGCGUGGUCCAAAGUGAAUAUUUUUUAUUUUUUAGGGGUGCAAAAAUGUAGGAUAUUAAAUGACAAGGAGUGAAAGUGAAAAAUCAAAUUUUGAUAGGGGGGUUUUCUGUAAGUUAGCCAAAUCUAAAUUUGAAUAUGAUUAAUUGAGCCACAUUUAUGAAAAUCCUAACAAUCUCCUACUUGGCUCAUAUUAAUCAUACUCCCGAAUGGAUUUUCUAUAUUUGAAACUUUAUUAUGCAUUUUUGGAAACUUUAUAGUCAAAUACCUUACAACUUACUUGAUCUUUAUCUCAAACUAAAAAACUACAAUGAUAGGAACGAUGGUCAAUCAUCUCUUCAUAUUGAAAAUUUUCUUCCAUAAUUACCAUGUCAUUUUCAUCUCUUAGCCGAGUACUUUAUAUGACGCAACUUUAUGAAUGAACUCAAAACUAUAUGUCCAUUCGUUAAUAGAUAAAAUUUUAUGCUUAUUAAAUGGUUCAACACAGCUGCAUUAAACUUUAGCUUUAUUGAAAAAAGAUAAAUGUUACAACUUUAUACAUCAAAAGAAUUAAUCAAAGCAUACUUCUAACAUGACCUGUAUAUGACCUAGGUGCUAGCCCUUUUGUAACGACCCGACCCGCUAGCAAUAAUAACUCGUUGGGCCCAAACUACCAGCCCAAAAUGCUUAAGCCUAGUUAUUAUGUCUAGCCCAAUCAAGCUUAUAUACUCCCACAUCUAGCCAUAACUAUCCGAUGUGAAACUAUUGGGGUGUCACAGACUCCCCCUGUUUAGACCCUGGCAUCCUCGUCAACCCUAAACACACACACAGCCCAAGAUCACCAGGCAAUGUGAAACUUGUCUCGCUAGCCUUUGUCAUUCCGACCCUGACUUAGCCUAUCAAUUACCGACCCUAGCUUAGUCUGUCAUUCCGACCUUGCCUCAGCCAAGACUCAUCUCACACUUACGGCUGGUGAACUGGCUCUGAUACCAAAUGUAACGACCUGACCCGCUAGCAAUAAUAACUCGUUGGGCUCAAACUACCAACCCAAAAUGCUUAAGCGCAGUUAUUAUGUCUAGCCCAAUCAAACUAUAUACUCUCACAUCUAGCUCAUAACUAUCUGAUGUGAAAUUAUUGAGGUGUCACAUCUUUGGUCAUUGGGUCUACAAUUAUAC
This 2714-nucleotide long non-coding RNA is filed under the name Ananas comosus (pineapple). Its description in RNAcentral is "long non-coding RNA (ACOM_LNC013711)". The record is from RNAcentral. Lineage: Eukaryota; Viridiplantae; Streptophyta; Magnoliopsida; Poales; Bromeliaceae.